GAUGAACGCUGGCGGCGUGCUUAACACAUGCAAGUCGAACGGAAAGGCCAGUGCUUGCACUGGUACUCGAGUGGCGAACGGGCGAGUAACACGUGGGUGAUCUGCCCUGCACUUCGGGAUAAGCCUGGGAAACUGGGUCUAAUACCGGAUAGGACAAUGGUUUGGAUGCCGUUGUGGAAAGUUUUUUCGGUGUGGGAUGAGCUCGCGGCCUAUCAGCUUGUUGGUGGGGUAAUGGCCUACCAAGGCGUCGACGGGUAGCCGGCCUGAGAGGGUGUACGGCCACAUUGGGACUGAGCUACGGCCCAGACUCCUACGGGAGGCAGCAGUGGGGAAUAUUGCACAAUGGGCGCAAGCCUGAUGCAGCGACGCCGCGUGGGGGAUGACGGCCUUCGGGUUGUAAACUCCUUUCGCUAGGGACGAAGCGUAUUUGUGACGGUACCUGGAGAAGAAGCACCGGCUAACUACGUG
This 468-nucleotide ribosomal RNA is filed under the name uncultured bacterium. RNAcentral's name for it is "partial 16S ribosomal RNA". It matches the Rfam family "Bacterial small subunit ribosomal RNA", at positions 28 to 507 of the family's 1533-position model. The record is from RNAcentral.